Molecule: long non-coding RNA, 341 nt
Filed under: Gallus gallus (chicken)
Lineage: Eukaryota; Metazoa; Chordata; Aves; Galliformes; Phasianidae
Source: RNAcentral
CUUUUUCUAAAGUCAUUAAUAAGCAGAAGAGCAUGGAAAAUGUCAUCAGAGAUUGUCUUGUGAAAGAACAAUUAUUAUCUGUUGGAACAGCUCAAGCAGAGAGAAAGAGUAUCCUCCUGGAGCUAAGAAACCUCUCCCAGUGAAAUUUAACCAGGGCUUGAUGUAUUCCUGUGCCAAAUGUUGCUUUUGAAGAAUCAGCAUUUCCUUCUCAUCCUCUGAUGUGACUUGACCAAAGAGAGGAAGGGGACUGAGAAAGCAACAUGGUAGGGCAGAGCUGCCCAACUGUGUGAAACAACCCCAAGCACUCUUGGAGCUGAUGCGUUACAGACACCUUCACAGAG